UAAUUCCGGUUGAUCCUGCCGGAGGUUACUGCUAUCGGUGUUUGACUAAGCCAUGCGAGUCAAAUGUUCUUCGUGAACAUGGCGUAAUGCUCAGUAACACGUGGAUAACCUGCCCUUAGGUCCGGCAUAACCUCGGGAAACUGAGGAUAAUUCCGGAUAGCCCUUUUUCGCCGGAACGCAUAAAGGGUCAAAGAACCUCGCCUAAGGAUGGGUCUGCGGCCUAUCAGGUUGUAGCGGGUGUAAUGUACCCGCUAGCCGACAACGGGUACGGGUUGUGAGAGCAAGAGCCCGGAGAUGGACUCUGAGACAUGAGUCCAGGCCCUACGGGGCGCAGCAGGCGCGAAAACUUUACAAUGCAGGAAACUGUGAUAAGGAGACACCGAGUGCUCACAUCAAAUGUGGGCUGUCCGCUUACCUAAAUCGUAAGCGUUAGCAAGGACCGGGCAAGACCGGUGCCAGCCGCCGCGGUAAUACCGGUGGUCCGAGUGGUAGCCGCUUUUAUUGGGUCUAAAGGGUCCGUAGCCGGUUCGGUCAGUCCAUUGGGAAAUCCGGAUGCUCAACAUUCGGGCUUCCAGUGGAUACUGCCGGACUUGGGAUUGGGGGAGGUAAGAGGUACUAUAGGGGUAGGAGUGAAAUCUUGUAAUCCUUGUGGGACCACCUGUGGCGAAGGCGUCUUACCAAAACAAGUCCGACGGUGAGGGACGAAAGCUGGGGGCACGAACCGGAUUAGAUACCCGGGUAGUCCCAGCCGUAAACGAUGCUCGCUAGGUGUCAGGCAUGGCGUGACUGUGUCUGGUGCCGAAGGGAAGCCGUGAAGCGAGCCACCUGGGAAGUACGGCCGCAAGGCUGAAACUUAAAGGAAUUGGCGGGGGAGCACAACAACGGGUGGAGCCUGCGGUUUAAUUGGACUCAACGCCGGAAAACUCACCAGGGGAGACAGCAAUAUGUAGGUCAAGCUGAAGACUUUACCUGAAUCGCUGAGAGGAGGUGCAUGGUCGUCGCCAGUUCGUACUGUGAAGCAUCCUGUUAAGUCAGGCAACGAGCGAGACCCGUGCCCACAGUUACCAGCGGCAUCUCCGGAUGGCCGGGUACUCUGUGGGGACCGCCGGUGUUAAAUCGGAGGAAGGUGCGGGCUACGGUAGAUCAGUAUGCCCCGAAUCUCUUGGGCUACACGCGGGCUACAAUGGACGGGACAAUGGGUUACGACACCGAAAGGUGAGGUAAAUCUCACAAACCCGUUCUAAGUUCGGAUCGAGGAUUGAAACCCAUCCUCGUGAAGCUGGAAUCCGUAGUAAUCGCGUUUCAACAUAGCGCGGUGAAUACGUCCCUGCUCCUUGCACACACCGCCCGUCAAACCACCCGAGUGAGGUAUGGGUGAGGGUAUGGACAUCGUGCCGUAUUCGAACCUGAAUUUUGCAAGGGGGGUUAAGUCGUAACAAGGUAGCCGUAGGGGAAUCUGCGGCUGGAUCACCU
This 1473-nucleotide ribosomal RNA is filed under the name uncultured Methanimicrococcus sp. RNAcentral describes it as "bacterial SSU rRNA". It matches the Rfam family "Archaeal small subunit ribosomal RNA". Lineage: Archaea; Methanobacteriati; Methanobacteriota; Methanomicrobia; Methanosarcinales; Methanosarcinaceae. The record is from RNAcentral.